GGGUUGUGAGGUUAAGCGACUAAGCGUACACGGUGGAUGCCCAGGCAGUCAGAGGCGAUGAAGGACGUGCUAAUCUG
Molecule: ribosomal RNA, 77 nt
Filed under: Pantoea ananatis
Lineage: Bacteria; Pseudomonadati; Pseudomonadota; Gammaproteobacteria; Enterobacterales; Erwiniaceae
Description: partial 23S ribosomal RNA
Source: RNAcentral